UUAAUUAGGCGUCAUUUCCAUGAUCACAUUCAUAUUUAUCGGCUGUGUUGACUCCUCAAAGUCAAAGUGAAAUUCUUGAAGAAAGAUUUCAAGGUCACAAGGAAUGACUGGCAAAAAUUGCGUACCUGUGCCAGCUUAGAAGAUGAACACAUGCUUCUGGUGUGCGAAUUCAUGCCGAGAGGAAGUUUGGAAAAUCAUCUAUUCAGAAAGGAGUGCUUAUUUCCAACCACUAUCACAGAAUCUCCGAAUGAAGGUUACUCUCGAGGCAGCUAAAGGACUGACAUAUCUCCACAGCCCAGAAGCUAAAAUUAUAUAUCAGGAUUUCAAAUCAUCUAACAUUUUGCUUGUUGCUAUAUGUAAAACAACUUUAAAAUUUAGUCUUCUACAAGUUUUAACAAUAUUUCUGUUGUCCUCUUAUGAUUUGUCCAUACCAUGAAUUGACAGAGUUACAAUGCAAAGUUGAGCCAAUCAACAGAAAAUGGGUACCUUCUGUUGUGCUGCUCCCGAGUAUAUGACCACUGGUAAUAUACAAUUUCAAUUUACUCCUAAUUGUCCUUGUGCUUUACUUGAGCUGAGCGUCAAUCGGAAGCCAAGUACAAAAGUAGUUAAAAGAUAGAGAUGGUGUCAUUAGGCAUAACUUGGCUGGUUCAUUUCCAUCUGUUUCUCUGUUCAAGGAGUAUCAAAAUAGAGC
Long non-coding RNA from Solanum stenotomum, 691 nucleotides. RefSeq lists it as uncharacterized. The record is from RefSeq and is a predicted model, not a curated record. The transcript is spliced from 3 exons. NCBI's taxonomy places the organism in Eukaryota, Viridiplantae, Streptophyta, Magnoliopsida, Solanales, Solanaceae.